AACGAACGCUGGCGGCAGGCUUAACACAUGCAAGUCGAACGCCCCGCAAGGGGAGUGGCAGACGGGUGAGUAACGCGUGGGAAUCUACCCAGUUCUACGGAACAACUGAGGGAAACUUCAGCUAAUACCGUAUACGCCCUACGGGGGAAAGAUUUAUCGGAAUUGGAUGAGCCCGCGUUGGAUUAGCUAGUUGGUGAGGUAACGGCUCACCAAGGCGACGAUCCAUAGCUGGUCUGAGAGGAUGAUCAGCCACACUGGGACUGAGACACGGCCCAGACUCCUACGGGAGGCAGCAGUGGGGAAUAUUGGACAAUGGGCGCAAGCCUGAUCCAGCCAUGCCGCGUGAGUGAUGAAGGCCUUAGGGUUGUAAAGCUCUUUCAGUGGGGACGAGUAAAUGACGGUACCCACAGAAGAAGCCCCGGCUAACUUCGUG
This 433-nucleotide ribosomal RNA is filed under the name uncultured bacterium. RNAcentral's name for it is "bacterial SSU rRNA". It matches the Rfam family "Bacterial small subunit ribosomal RNA", at positions 29 to 507 of the family's 1533-position model. The record is from RNAcentral.